Molecule: ribosomal RNA, 253 nt
Filed under: uncultured bacterium
Lineage: Bacteria
Description: partial 16S ribosomal RNA
Rfam family: Bacterial small subunit ribosomal RNA
Source: RNAcentral
UACGGGGGGGGCAAGCGUUGUUCGGAAUUACUGGGCGUAAAGGGCUCGUAGGCGGCCAACUAAGUCGGAUGUGAAAUCCCCAGGCUUAACCUGGGAACUGCAUCCGAUACUGGAUGGCUUGAAUCCGGGAGAGGGAUGCAGAAUUCCAGGUGUAGCGGUGAAAUGCGUAGAUAUCUGGAGGAAUACCGGUGGCGAAGGCGGCAUCCUGGACCGGCAUUGACGCUGAGGCGCGAAAGCGUGGGGAGCAAACAGG